This is a long non-coding RNA of Bradysia coprophila, 74 nucleotides long. The record is from RefSeq and is a predicted model, not a curated record. Lineage: Eukaryota; Metazoa; Arthropoda; Insecta; Diptera; Sciaridae.
UUUAAGUUGUGGUAAAGUUGGCUUCUGUGGAUUACGUUCGGUUGUUUUCGGCCUGUCAAAAUUCGUUUUUACCG